UCCGGUUUGUCACCGGCAGUCCCAUUAGAGUGCCCAACUGAAUGUGGCAACUAAUGGCAAGGGUUGCGCUCGUUGCGGGACUUAACCCAACAUCUCACGACACGAGCUGACGACAGCCAUGCAGCACCUGUGUUACGGUUCUCUUUCGAGCACUCCUCCAUCUCUGGAGGAUUCCGUACAUGUCAAAGGUGGGGAUGAGUCUCCUU
This 206-nucleotide unclassified non-coding RNA is filed under the name uncultured Gammaproteobacteria bacterium. RNAcentral's name for it is "contains 16S-23S intergenic spacer region". Lineage: Bacteria; Pseudomonadati; Pseudomonadota; Gammaproteobacteria. The record is from RNAcentral.